GGGGGUAGUGACAGUCCGAAGGAAUAUGCCAUUCUCCCAUUCCCGCAAUUUAGUGAAAUUAGAAUUUGGAUUUCGCUCUCCCAUUCUCGCAAUCUUUGUGAAACCAUCUCCCCCAAAAACCUCUCUCGACCCUAAUCUCCCUCUCUCGGUCAACGGUGGCCAUUUUUUCGCACUUCCCCCUAGCCUUUACGACAUUCUCCCUUUUGUGAUUUCAUCCACUCCUCAAUCGUGGAAGGAAAUUGACCCUAAGGAAGUUGGUUGGUGAGGUGAGGGUUUACAUUGUUGCUGGAAGGGGUUUCGUGACGGUGGUGUGGCAGCUUGAGGAGGGUGCUAUGGCGGCCUGAGUAGGGUUUGCACUAUCGCGACGCCGCCAAUCGAAGGGGUGCGUGACGGGAUCGUUGUCGCUGCGUGAGGAGGGGUUGAGGCACAGUUGUUGAAGGGCUGCAGUUGAAGUGAAGUGUCCAAGAUUUCAUCAUUUCCAGGAUGUGGAUGGUUUACGCUGCCAAGGACAUAGGUACUACACACCAUAGCUUAUGCCCUGUAACACUUUCAUACUCUUUAACAUACUGGAAAAUUAGAGUAUGCUCUGUUGGGUUAUAAUGAUUGGUUGGGUCUAAAGUGAACUUAAAGGUUUAAUUAGGUUAUGGGAGCUUGUAGACUAGAAUUGUGUUCAGAAAAUUACUUAGUCAUACAAACGUGGAACCUUAAAUAGUUUCUGACCCUCUGUUUUGAAUUCAAGCCCAAGUUAAAAUAACUAUUAAUGUAGUUAUCCAACUCCACUUCUAUGUAUGUAUAAUUCACGAAUAAUUUAACACCCAAACAGGUUUGAAUUGGCCAAAAUUAGUUUGAUGCAUACAUAUAAAGUGUAAGAAAACAGAGGUAAAAUCCAUUUAAACAAAUUUUGAAUGACUAAAGAAAGUUAUAAAUCAACUUAAAAAUUAUAAUCUUCAAGAAUUCAAUACUCAAAACCUACCAAAGCACUGUAAAAAUAGGCUAAACAAGGUAAAAGUAAGAACUAAACUAAAACAGAAAGAAACUUGUAAAGAAACUUCCUAAUAAAGUCUUAAAUGUCUAAAGAAAACUAAGAGCACUUCAAAAGUCACUAAUUCUAAGAGAUUCUAAAACUCACUAAAGAAAGCCUAAAAGUACACUCAAACUAGUAUAGAAAUGAGGACUACACUAAUUGCAGUGCACUGCAGCUUUGUAAACAAGUUUUAAAUGAUAAAAGCAAGUUAAGAAAUAACCUAAAACCUACCUCUCUACAAAAACUCAAAAAUUGACUAUUGAGAACCUAAAACUAUGCUAGAAAUCUCAAAUCAUGAAAAAUUCUCUAAACUAACAAAUGAAGUUGUAAUGUAACUAUCUAAACAUGUUUUAAAUGGUACAAGACUAUUGAAAACUAUGGUAACUAAUGAAAAUAGGAAAGAAAUCAAAAUCUGCUUAUGAAAAUCGGAAAGAUGCACUAGAAAGGUCAAAAGUUGCAAAUUGCACUAAAGUAACCUAAGAAUGUGCAAUGUUCUUAUCCUUACAAGAGUAAAGUAGUCAAAUGAAGCUAAGAAAGAUGUCAAAUUGUAUCAAGUAGCUAAAUAUCAAAAUUUGGCUACUUAAAACCUAAAAAGUGUACUAAAUAGGUGAAAAAAUGGGAAUUCACCUAAAGUAACCUAAGAAUGUACAAUCUUCAUAUCCUAACAACUUUAAAGUACUUAAAUGAAACUAAGAAACAUGUCAAUUUCAAAGUAGUACACAAAUCUCAAAAUUAAAGUACUUAAAACCUAAAAAGUGUUGUAAAUAGGUGACAAUUUCGAAAUUGACCUAAACUAACCUAACAAUGUGUAAUGUUCUUAGUCUAACAAGUUUAAAGAACUUAAAUGAAGCUAAGAAAGAUGUCAAAUUGUAUGAAGUAGCUAAAUAUCAAAAUUUGGGUACUUAAAACCUAAAAAAGUGUACUAAAAAGGUGAGAAAUUAGGAAUUCACCUAUGGUAACCUAAGAAUGUGUAUUCUACACAUCCUAACAAGUAUAAAGUUGUGAAAUGAAGCUAGGAAAAUACUCAAAAGCAAUAAACUACCUAAAACUCAAAGUUUGAGUAGUUAGAACCCAAAAAAGUGUACUAAAAGGGUGAGAAAAUGGCAAUUCACCUAAAGUAGACUAAGAAUAACUAAUGUUAAUAUUCUAACAAGUCUAAAGUAAUGAAAUGACACUAGGAAACUACUCAAAAGCAAACAAGUACCUAAAACUGAAAUUUUGGGUAGUUAGAACCUAAAAAAGUCUACUAAAAAGGUGAGAAAUUUGCAAUUCACCUAAAGUAGACUAAUUUUAACUAAUGUUAAUAUCCUAAUAAGUCUAAAUUAGUCAAGUGAAGAUAGGAAACUACUCAAAAGCAAACAAGUACCUAAAACUCAAAGUUUGAGUAGUUUCAACCUAAAAAGUUCACUUAAAAGGUGACAAAUUGCCAAUUCACCAAAAGUAGAGUAAUUUUAAGUAAUGUUAACAUCCUAACAAGUCUAAAGUAGUGAAAUGAUGGUAGGAAAGUGGUCAUAAGCAAAAAAUUUCCUAAAACUCAAAAUGACACUACUUAAAACCUUAAAAAAUGUAGUAAAAAGUACCUAAUUGAGUCAUUACAGGUCAAUUUUCGUUCUGCUGUGAUUUUGUGAUAUUUGGAAGUUUAAACAAGUCCAACUUGAUGUAUUAAAGCUGUUAGAACCAUUGAUAUGAAGUUAGAAUGACCUAUAUGCAAUUUAGUAUGUUAAACCAUCAUAUUUGAGCCAUUUUUGGAACUUGCAAAGUGAAUCUGAGUUGCAUUUCUAUUUUAUGCAUAAUUAGAGUUCAAAUAAGUGUAUUUUGAUGACUUAAAACUGUUAAAAUGAUUAGCAAAGUGUUAGAAUGGCUUAGGCACAAAAUCACUUUCAAAACCACCAAUUUUGAGUCAAUUUUGGGAAGUAGAAAGGUGAUUUUGAGUAGCAGUUUGGUUUUGAGUUAAAUUUGAGUUCUAACAAGUUUCAAUUCACCAAACAAAGUUGUUGAAUUGGUGAAAAGCAAAUAAUAACCUAAAACUCAAAGUUUGAGUAUUUAGAUUAUAAAAAGUGUACUUAUAAGGUGAGAAAUUGUCAAUUCACCUAAUAUAGUCAACAUCCUAACAAGUAUAAAGUAGUGAAAUGAACCUAAGAAACUAGUCAAAAGCAAAGGAUUAGGUAAAACUCAAAGUUUGAGUUGUUAGAACCUAAAAAAGUGGUUCCAAGUUGGUGAAAUGCUGUUGAAAAUCAAGCCAAAUUGCUACUUUUAGAGCUACUUCUUUGUCCAAUUCAGCAACCCUUCCAUUACCUAGUAUGCUACCCCCUUGGAGCAAGAAUUCUGGACCUUGGACGCCUCACCAAAACGUCACAACACCCCACCACACACUAAACCAGUCACAGCAAAAAUCUGCACUGCACUAGAUUUUAAUUUCAAGUAACAGACUUUGUAGCACAAUUUGAAGGCCAAACAAGUGGAUUUCAAAUGAUUUUAAGCCUUGAAUCAAUAGAGGGACACAAAAGGAACCUAGGAGAGGCACUAGAUCAGAUUAAGCACGCAAGAAAAGUAAAAAACAAAGAGCCAAAAUUAGUGCAGUAAGGUGUUUGAUAAAAAUGCAACUGUUUGAUGAAAGUCUCCAAAGAAGUGCAGAUUUUGUGAUUUUCGAUUUUUGGGGUUCAAAACUGGAUUGCUUGGUUUUCAAAUGAUUUUUAUGAUUGGAUUAUACUUUUUUGAUCAUAUAAUUCCAUUUUCAAACAUGUAACCAGCUCUUUCCAACCCAUAAUUGAAAUUUAAAGAAUGUACAAAAUUAAACACACUAAAAAUGAAAACUGCACCAGAAAAAUGGUUUUAAAAGUGUGCUUUCAAAUCCAAAAAUGAGUGGCAGUGUUUCUAAAGCUCAAGUGAUGAUUCAAGCAACUUUAUAUCAUCAAUUUAAAGGUGUUUAAACAUUGAAACAACAAGGAAUCACACUACACUCAAAAAUCACUAAUUCACUUCUAAAUUUAAGCAAAAUUGAUGGUUUAGGAAGUGAUUUUGCAUGUAGGCUCGAAUUUGACGAAAUGAACAGUGCACACAGGUUUGAAAUGGUAAAAUAAACUUGUUCAAACAUUCACAAUGGACAGAAACAACCAGAUGCUUCAAAUCACACUUGCUAUAGCCAAUUAUGCAGCAUUUUAAACCCAAAAUUAGCACUAGAAUUGAAAACACACACUGGAAUCAAAUUGUACAGCAUAAACAAAGCUAAAGGAAGUCCUAAUUCACCAUAUCUAGGUACAAAAUCUUAGCUAGGAGAUUUUAAAUGGCCUAAGACACAACAAAAUUCUGAUGCAGUUUUGGUGACAUUUUCAUACAUAUUUGUCUAUAGUAACUAUGAUUUGUUGAAUCUUGCUGUGUUUGUGCAUAUACAAUGUUUGAACAAGUUUAUUUUGCCAUUUUAAAGUUGUGUGCACUGUUGAAAUGAUCAUUUUUAUUCCUAUAUGUAGAAUCAUGUCUUAAACCAUCAAAAUUGGCUUUAAAAUGGAAGUGAACCAGUGAAUUCACAUUACAAUCUGUUUUCAAACUGUUUGAGUGUUUAAAUAUCUUUAAAAUGAUGAUAAAAUUCUGCAUUGCUGCAUUGCUGCAUCGUUGUAUUACUGUAUUGCUGUAUUGCUGUAAAAUUCUGCAUUGCUGUAAAUUCUGCAUAAAAUCUUUGCUGUUUUGGUGUAAAAUUCUACAAAAAUAGCUUACUAUUUUGUUGUAUAACCUGCAUAAAAAUCUGGUUGUUUUGAUGGUAUAUUCUGCAUAAAAAUCCUUGGCUAUUUGACCAUGUGGGAAGAGCAUCACAUUCUGCAGCAGCCAGCGCCCUGUUUUUUUUUUCGCCCUUCGGAAAUUACCGAAGGCUUUUGGCCCUCGGUAAUUACCGAAAGCUUUUGGCCCUCGGUAAUUACCGAAGGGCGAAAGCCCUCGGUAAAUGUUAGCGACAAGGGAUUUACCGAGGGCUCUUUGGCCGUCGAUAAGCCUUCGGUAAUUACCUUUUACCGACGGUUUUGGGCUGUUUCCGAGGGCUUCUGGCCUUCGGUAAUGCCCUUCUUUUUUGUAGUGAUUCUUCUUACAUAAUCUUUAAAUUAUAAUGGCUAAGAUGUGUAUUCUUUUGCACGUAAUCACUUUGGGCUAAUACGAGUAUUCUAUUGAAUUUCAAGUUAAGCCUGUUGGUAAAAAUGUUUUGAUUAUGAUUGAAGAAUGAUGAUGUUGAAUUUAGAGUUUUCACUUUCUUUGAAUAUUGUUUGACCCUGUAUUCACAAUAUCUUUUUAAUUUAGCACACAACCUAUACUAAAUGAAAUUGAAAGGAAAUGUUUUUAUAAAGUGAAAACUAAGUCUAAAAGGUUUUUCUACAUUUAUAAUUGAUUAAGUUUUCUUAUAAUUGAUAAAAAAAGAUGUUCCUAAAAGGUUUCAUGAUUGUGUAACUGAUUGUCUCUUUUGACAAUAUAUAUUAACCUAAAGAAUAGUUUAAAUGUUUUCAAUAUUCUCAUAACUAUAAUCUUUCAUAAUUGAUUAAAUGAACUAAUUGCAUUAAAUGAAGAAAAAAAUUAAUUAAUCAAACACCAUCCUUGAUAGAUUAAAAUAGAAAUAUUUCUAACUGUUUUUCAAAAUUUAAUUAGAAUAAUCAAUUAAAUGCUUGAUAUAAUCAAUUAAAAGCUUUAGUUCUUGUUUUAAACAAGUGCUUUCAGAACUCUAAAAAUAAAGAGUCAAUCUUAAUAUUUCAAAUAACUUUAACAAUCAUUGUGGGCAAAUUAUAUUGAGAUUGACAUAGUUGUUUCAUACUCACAAAAGUACUUUAAAGAUUUCAAUAAUAAACAGUUUCAAAAUCUAAAAUCCUUAUAAUUGCUUAUGUUGAAUUUUAGUAAACUCUUUCUUGUUGUUUUGUUGAAGUGUUUCUAAUGAUUGUUGUUGUAAUAAGAGUUUAUAAGAC
Molecule: long non-coding RNA, 5958 nt
Organism: Vigna angularis (adzuki bean)
Lineage: Eukaryota; Viridiplantae; Streptophyta; Magnoliopsida; Fabales; Fabaceae
Exons: 3
Source: RefSeq, a predicted model, not a curated record